RNAcentral lists this ribosomal RNA (244 nucleotides) under uncultured bacterium. RNAcentral describes it as "partial 16S ribosomal RNA". It matches the Rfam family "Bacterial small subunit ribosomal RNA", at positions 28 to 268 of the family's 1533-position model. The record is from RNAcentral.
GAUGAACGCUAGCGACAGGCUUAACACAUGCAAGUCGAGGGGCAGCGGGGGUAGCAAUACCCGCCGGCGACCGGCGCACGGGUGAGUAACGCGUAUGCAACUUACCUAUCAGAGGGGGAUAACCCGGCGAAAGUCGGACUAAUACCGCAUGAAGCAGGGGCCUCCGAUAGGUAGGUAAUUUAGUUCGUAAACGUAAAGUUACUUACUACGUCCGUCGUAGUAAGUAAGUAAGGUACGGACUAGU